This 372-nucleotide ribosomal RNA is filed under the name Vibrio coralliilyticus ATCC BAA-450. Its description in RNAcentral is "bacterial SSU rRNA". It matches the Rfam family "Bacterial small subunit ribosomal RNA", at positions 8 to 366 of the family's 1533-position model. The record is from RNAcentral. Lineage: Bacteria; Pseudomonadati; Pseudomonadota; Gammaproteobacteria; Vibrionales; Vibrionaceae.
AGAGUUUGAUCAUGGCUCAGAUUGAACGCUGGCGGCAGGCCUAACACAUGCAAGUCGAGCGGAAACGAGUUGUCUGAACCUUCGGGGAACGACAACGGCGUCGAGCGGCGGACGGGUGAGUAAUGCCUGGGAAAUUGCCCUGAUGUGGGGGAUAACCAUUGGAAACGAUGGCUAAUACCGCAUAAUAGCUUCGGCUCAAAGAGGGGGACCUUCGGGCCUCUCGCGUCAGGAUAUGCCCAGGUGGGAUUAGCUAGUUGGUGAGGUAAUGGCUCACCAAGGCGACGAUCCCUAGCUGGUCUGAGAGGAUGAUCAGCCACACUGGAACUGAGACACGGUCCAGACUCCUACGGGAGGCAGCAGUGGGGAAUAUUG